Molecule: ribosomal RNA, 421 nt
Filed under: Verrucomicrobiota bacterium
Lineage: Bacteria; Pseudomonadati; Verrucomicrobiota
Description: Verrucomicrobia bacterium partial 16S ribosomal RNA
Rfam family: Bacterial small subunit ribosomal RNA
Source: RNAcentral
UGGGGAAUUUUGCACAAUGGGCGCAAGCCUGAUGCAGCGACGCCGCGUGAGGGAUGAAGGCCUUCGGGUUGUAAACCUUUUUCGCUCAUGGUCAAGCCGCAGCUUUGGGUUGUGGUGAGGGUAGUGGGUAAAGAAGCGCCGGCUAACUACGUGCCAGCAGCCGCGGUAAUACGUAGGGCGCGAGCGUUGUCCGGAUUUACUGGGCGUAAAGGGCGUGUAGGCGGCUAGAUAAGUGUGAUGUUUAAAUCCAAGGCUUAACCUUGGGGUUCAUUACAAACUGUUUAGCUUGAGUGCUGGAGAGGAUAGUGGAAUUCCUAGUGUAGCGGUAAAAUGCGUAGAUAUUAGGAGGAACACCGGUGGCGAAGGCGGCUAUCUGGACAGUAACUGACGCUGAGGCGCGAAAGCGUGGGGAGCAAACAGG